Acanthosepion pharaonis is the source of this 108-nucleotide non-coding RNA. Lineage: Eukaryota; Metazoa; Mollusca; Cephalopoda; Sepiida; Sepiidae. The record is from the annotation of a GenBank genome assembly.
GCCAUGUCACCUUGAAACACCGCUUCCUAUACAAUCAUCGUAGUUAAGCAACGUCGAGCCUGUACAGUACCUAGAUGGGUGACCGCUUUGGAAGACCAGAUUCUGCAA